GUGCUCACUUCGGCAGCAAAUAUACUAAAAUUGGAACAGUACAGAGAAGAUUAGCAGGGCCCUGCACAAGGAUGACACACAAAUUUGUGAAGCAUUCCAUAUUUUU
This is a small nuclear RNA of Manis pentadactyla (Chinese pangolin), 106 nucleotides long. The record is from RefSeq and is a predicted model, not a curated record. NCBI's taxonomy places the organism in Eukaryota, Metazoa, Chordata, Mammalia, Pholidota, Manidae.